Molecule: ribosomal RNA, 276 nt
Filed under: uncultured bacterium
Lineage: Bacteria
Description: 16S ribosomal RNA
Rfam family: Bacterial small subunit ribosomal RNA
Source: RNAcentral
GAUUAGCUAGUUGGUAGGGUAACGGCCUACCAAGGCGACGAUCGGUAGCUGGUCUGAGAGGACGGCCAGUCACACUGGAACUGAGACACGGUCCAGACUCCUACGGGAGGCAGCAGUGGGGAAUAUUGGACAAUGGGCGAAAGCCUGAUCCAGCCAUGCCGCGUGUGUGAAGAAGGUCUUCGGAUUGUAAAGCACUUUAAGUUGGGAGGAAGGGCAGUAAGUUAAUACCUUGCUGUUUUGACGUUACCAACAGAAUAAGCACCGGCUAACUUCGUG